This 490-nucleotide ribosomal RNA is filed under the name uncultured bacterium. RNAcentral describes it as "bacterial SSU rRNA". It matches the Rfam family "Bacterial small subunit ribosomal RNA", at positions 30 to 517 of the family's 1533-position model. The record is from RNAcentral.
AUUGAACGCUGGCGGAAUGCUUUACACAUGCAAGUCGAACGGUAGAGGGGGCAACCCCUUGAGAGUGGCGAACGGGUGAGUAAUAUAUCGGAACGUGCCCAGUCGUGGGGAUAACGUAGCGAAAGUUACGCUAAUACCGCAUACGAUCUAAGGAUGAAAGCGGGGGAUCGCAAGACCUCGCGCGAUUGGAGCGGCCGAUAUCAGAUUAGGUAGUUGGUGAGGUAAAGGCUCACCAAGCCAACGAUCUGUAGCUGGUCUGAGAGGACGACCAGCCACACUGGAACUGAGACACGGUCCAGACUCCUACGGGAGGCAGCAGUGGGGAAUUUUGGACAAUGGACGCAAGUCUGAUCCAGCCAUUCCGCGUGCAGGAUGAAGGCCCUCGGGUUGUAAACUGCUUUUGUACGGAACGAAAAGGUUUGUCUUAAUACGAUGAGCUCAUGACGGUACCGUAAGAAUAAGCACCGGCUAACUACGUAGCCAGCAGCCG